Molecule: long non-coding RNA, 1070 nt
Filed under: Felis catus (domestic cat)
Lineage: Eukaryota; Metazoa; Chordata; Mammalia; Carnivora; Felidae
Description: lncRNA (ENSFCAG00000047911.1)
Source: RNAcentral
GUUCCAUUUAAAAAGGGAUCUGUUUACACUUCCUUGUUUUAAUCAGCCUUAGAGUGAAAUUGGAAUGAAAUGUAUAAUCAUUUGAUGGAGCCAGUGUUUGCCAGUCUGUCUUACCAGCUUGAGUUCAUCUAAGAGAUGAUUUUGAAGUAAAAAGGUUACUCCGUUUACUAAGCAAACAGAAGGAGGUAAGUCGUUUUUCUCAGAAUUGUGGAAGUGGUUUCUUCAUAAGAGUUCACAUAUUGGAAAGAAUCGCUGACUGAACCCUCCACAGCAAUGUUCCAGGAUUCAUUUUUAAUAAAGUUGUUUAUUUCAAGAGUAUAAACUCCACUUUUGAGCAAAAUGCAGAAACCAGCACAGGAGGUUAAAAAAGCUGUUCUGCUGUAAUAGUGUAAUUUGUUUCUUGGCCAUUAAAUGAGAAUGCUGGGAUUUUAAUUCCACUAUUUGGUUUCCAGCAUCUACUAUAAUUAAUUUUCUCUUAUUUUGUUGCUAUAGAAUCAAAUGGAAACUAAUGAUGUGGAACCCAACGUUGUCAAGGCAGUGAUGAGCUUCAUCUACGAGAUACACUUUCCUUGGAUUGCAUCAGUGGGUUGCUUGUAUUCCGGAUUGGCAAAGAUGAGGCACCAGAAGGAGGUGCUGAGGCCAGUAGAAGAGGGACUCCAGGGUAUUUAUUUUCUCAGCUGCCUCUCCAUCAGGUAAUGAUAGGUUUAUAACAUUCAUCUUUAAUGGCUUCAGCUCCUGUCCGAUGGUUCUUACCACACAGAUUUCUCUUAUAUUCCCCCAUCCCUUAUCAUUUUCCUAAACCCACCUGUAUAUCUGUAAAUAAUCCCUUCAAUUAGACUGUCCUCAAAUUUCCUAACUUGAAUGUAUCAUGCAUUUCUUGACACCAAUUCAAUUAAUGCACCUACUCAGAGAAAAAAUAUGCUACCUAGAAAUAACAAAGACCCUGCCAUUUAGAAGCCACAUGAUCUGGUCGAAUUGCUUAGUACCAUGUAGCCUGUUUCUUCAUCUGUAACCAUGUCUAAUAACAUCUACUUUGGAUGAUGUCUAAAGAAAAGUGCACAUAAAGCUCU